CAACACACACAAGUCGAACGAGCCCUUCGGGUUUAGUGGCGCACGGGUGAGUAACGCGUGGGAACCUGCCCUUUGGUUCGGAAUAACUCAGGGAAACGGGUGCUAAUACCGGAUAAGCCCUUCGGGGGAAAGAUUUAUCGCCAUUGGAGGGGCCCGCGUUGGAUUAGCUAGUUGGUGGGGUAAAGGCUCACCAAGGCGACGAUCCGUAGCUGGUCUGAGAGGAUGAUCAGCCACACUGGGACUGAGACACGGCCCAGACUCCUACGGGAGGCAGCAGUCGCCCGCCGCGCCCCGC
RNAcentral lists this ribosomal RNA (295 nucleotides) under uncultured Caulobacter sp. RNAcentral describes it as "partial 16S ribosomal RNA". It matches the Rfam family "Bacterial small subunit ribosomal RNA", at positions 53 to 355 of the family's 1533-position model. Lineage: Bacteria; Pseudomonadati; Pseudomonadota; Alphaproteobacteria; Caulobacterales; Caulobacteraceae. The record is from RNAcentral.